Molecule: long non-coding RNA, 871 nt
Filed under: Sinocyclocheilus grahami
Lineage: Eukaryota; Metazoa; Chordata; Actinopteri; Cypriniformes; Cyprinidae
Description: lncRNA (ENSSGRG00000010632.1)
Source: RNAcentral
AUUUGUGUAUAUAGGGCAAAACCUAAUUUCAGCUUUUAUGUGUUCUGCAGGAAGAGUUAAAGGGAUCUGAAUUCAGCUCCUGUGAGGUUGACAGUAAGGUAUUUGAUGAAAGUCUGAACACCACACCGCCAUGUUCUGUGGACAUCUGUUUCCCCAGUGAAGAACUUUAUACAUCUAUAGAACCUGGGGCUUUGAGCACUUCCACUCUAAUUUACAAGAUGUUUGAAGACGUCCUGCAACAUGCAGACAAGGAAGGUGAAGAUGGAAAUAAGGAAGAGGGGGUGGAGAAAGAUGAGAGCAAUUCAUCUGAGACUGAAAAGGAAGACAAAACGGAAUCGGACACAGUUGAAAAGGAAGACAAACAGGAACCAGUCACAGUCACAUUAAAUGAGUAUCCUCUUGACCAGAGUGAGAUGUGUGAAGAGAGUGAAGAAACUCCUGAUGCCAGUUCUGCAACAGAGAAAGAGAAGGAGCUCCAGUCUGUUGAUGAUGGUGAAGGAGAGAUGGAAGAAAAGCAGGAGAGCACCCCCAUGGUUGAUGAGGACUUUCUAACCCUGCCACCCAGCUGUAUCCUCUCUCCUCUCAGCAAAUCUGUGGAGGCUGUUGUCACACCACUGAACAUUGAAAUCAUUGUGUCUGAGCCAUCAGUACAGCUGCCCUCACCUGAAGAAAUGACAGCUAGUCCUGCUGACUGCGGUCAACCUUUAUACAGCAUUGACGCCUACCGCUCACAGAGGAAGAUCCAUCCCCCCUCUACUCAGAGCUUGACCCCUGGAGUUCAGAAGCAGGUUCAAGAGAAGACCUGCUCAAAAAAGCCCAUAAACAUCAAGGAGAGAAUUAAGGUUUUAAACGAGGAGGCAGCCAAGUUGCA